UGGGGUGUAGCUGAGUGGUAGAGCACUUGCCUAGCAAGUGUGAGGCACUGGGUUCAGUUCUCAGCACCGCAU
This 72-nucleotide transfer RNA is filed under the name Ictidomys tridecemlineatus (thirteen-lined ground squirrel). RNAcentral's name for it is "Spermophilus tridecemlineatus (thirteen-lined ground squirrel) tRNA". It matches the Rfam family "tRNA". From Rfam's summary of the family: Transfer RNA (tRNA) molecules are approximately 80 nucleotides in length. Their secondary structure includes four short double-helical elements and three loops (D, anti-codon, and T loops). Lineage: Eukaryota; Metazoa; Chordata; Mammalia; Rodentia; Sciuridae. The record is from Rfam by way of RNAcentral.